This 1023-nucleotide ribosomal RNA is filed under the name Saccharibacillus kuerlensis. RNAcentral's name for it is "bacterial SSU rRNA". It matches the Rfam family "Bacterial small subunit ribosomal RNA", at positions 68 to 1055 of the family's 1533-position model. Lineage: Bacteria; Bacillati; Bacillota; Bacilli; Caryophanales; Paenibacillaceae. The record is from RNAcentral.
GUCAGUAUAGAUGAGAAGCUGUGCGUUCUCUAGUAUGGUUAGCGGCGGACGGGUGAGUAACACGUAGGCAACCUGCCUUUCAGUCUGGGAUAACUUCCGGAAACGGAUGCUAAUACCGGAUACAUCGUUUCUUCGCAUGGAGAGAUGAGGAAAGACGGCGCAAGCUGUCACUGAGAGAUGGGCCUGCGGCGCAUUAGCUAGUUGGGUGAGGUAACUGGCUCAUCCAAGGCGAUCGAUGCGUAGCCGACCUGAGAGGGUGAACGGCCACACUGGGACUGAGACACGGYCCAGACUCCUACGGGAGGCAGCAGUAGGGAAUCUUCCACCAAUGGGCGAAAGCCUGAUGGAGCAAUUGCCGCGUGAGUGAUGAAGGUUUUCGGAUCGUAAAGCUCUGUUGCCAGGGAAGAACGUCCGGGUGAGUAACUGCACCCCGGAGUGACGGUACCUGAGAAGAAAGCCCCGGCUAACUACGUGCCAGCAGCCGCGGUAAUACGUAGGGGGCAAGCGUUGUCCGGAAUUAUUGGGCGUAAAGCGCGUGCAGGCGGCUUSUUAAGUCGGAUGUUUAAGAUCGGGGCUCAACCCCGAUUCGCAUCCGAAACUGGGAAGCUUGAGUGUAGGAGAGGAAAGUGGAAUUCCACGUGUAGCGGUGAAAUGCGUAGAGAUGUGGAGGAACACCAGUGGCGAAGGCGACUUUCUGGCCUAUAACUGACGCUGAGGCGCGAAAGCGUGGGGAGCAAACAGGAUUAGAUACCCUGGUAGUCCACGCUGUAAACGAUGAGUGCUAGGUGUUCGGGGUUUCGAUACCCUGGGUGCCGAAGUUAACGCAUUAAGCACUCCGCCUGGGGAGUACGGUCGCAAGACUGAAACUCAAAGGAAUUGACGGGGACCCGCACAAGCAGUGGAGUAUGUGGUUUAAUUCGAAGCAACGCGAAGAACCUUACCAGGUCUUGACAUCGGAAUGACCGGCUUAGAGAUAAGCCUUUCCCUUCGGGACAUUCCAGACAGGUGGUGCAUGGUUGUCGU